RNAcentral lists this unclassified non-coding RNA (203 nucleotides) under Puccinia virgata. Lineage: Eukaryota; Fungi; Basidiomycota; Pucciniomycetes; Pucciniales; Pucciniaceae. The record is from RNAcentral.
UUGUUGAACUUUUUUUUUUUGUCACUUGCUUUACUUCAGGGCUAGUCCAAUUUCACUUGGACUAUUUCUCUCCUCUACUUUUUCUAACUUUUCAGAUGGAGACAAAAUUGUUGACUCUAAUUUUUUGAGUCUACUUCUGAAAAAAAAAUAAUAAGGGGGGGUACUGGGCCAAGGACUAUGGUUUUGUGUUAAACUUUCAGCAU